AGUGAACGCUGGCGGUAGGCCUAACACAUGCAAGUCGAACGGCAGCACAGUAAGAGCUUGCUCUUACGGGUGGCGAGUGGCGGACGGGUGAGGAAUACAUCGGAAUCUACUUUUUCGUGGGGGAUCACGUAGGGAAACUUACGCUAAUACCGCAUACGACCUACGGGUGAAAGCAGGGGAUCUUCGGACCUUGCGCGAUUGAAUGAGCCGAUGUCGGAUUAGCUAGUUGGCGGGGUAAAGGCCCACCAAGGCGACGAUCCGUAGCUGGUCUGAGAGGAUGAUCAGCCACACUGGAACUGAGACACGGUCCAGACUCCUACGGGAGGCAGCAGUGGGGAAUAUUGGACAAUGGGCGCAAGCCUGACCCAGCCAUACCGCGUGUGUGAAGAAGGCCUUCGGGUUGUAAAGCCCUUUUGUUGGGAAAGAAAAGCAGCAGGUUAAUACCCCGCUGUUCUGACGGUACCCAAAGAAUAAGCACCGGCUAACUUCGUG
Molecule: ribosomal RNA, 492 nt
Filed under: uncultured bacterium
Lineage: Bacteria
Description: partial 16S ribosomal RNA
Rfam family: Bacterial small subunit ribosomal RNA
Source: RNAcentral